UACAGAGGUCCCAAGCGUUGUUCGGAUUCAUUGGGCGUAAAGGGUGCGUAGGCGGCGCGGUAAGUCGGGUGUGAAAUCUCGGGGCUUAACUGCGAAACUGCAUUCGAUACUGCCGUGCUUGAGGACUGGAGAGGAGACUGGAAUUUACGGUGUAGCGGUGAAAUGCGUAGAUAUCGUAGGGAAGACCAGUGGCGAAGGCGGGUCUCUGGACAGUUCCUGACACUGAGACGCGAAGGCCAGGGGAGCAAACGGG
This 253-nucleotide ribosomal RNA is filed under the name uncultured bacterium. RNAcentral's name for it is "partial 16S ribosomal RNA". It matches the Rfam family "Bacterial small subunit ribosomal RNA", at positions 524 to 776 of the family's 1533-position model. The record is from RNAcentral.